AACGAACGCUGGCGGCAGGCCUAACACAUGCCAGUCGAGCGAGCAUUUCGGUGCUAGCGGCGGACGGGUGAGUAACGCGUGGGAACGUGCCCUUUUCUGCGGAAUAGUCCUGGGAAACUGGGGGUAAUACCGCAUACGCCCUUUUGGGGAAAGAUUUAUCGGAGAAGGAUCGGCCCGCGUUGGAUUAGGUAGUUGGUGGGGUAAUGGCCCACCAAGCCGACGAUCCAUAGCUGGUUUGAGAGGAUGAUCAGCCACACUGGGACUGAGACACGGCCCAGACUCCUACGGGAGGCAGCAGUGGGGAAUCUUAGACAAUGGGGGCAACCCUGAUCUAGCCAUGCCGCGUGAGUGAUGAAGGCCUUAGGGUUGAAAAGCUCUUUCAGCUGGGAAGAUAAUGACGGUACCAGCAGAAGAAGCCCCGGCUAACUCCGUG
Molecule: ribosomal RNA, 433 nt
Filed under: uncultured bacterium
Lineage: Bacteria
Description: partial 16S ribosomal RNA
Rfam family: Bacterial small subunit ribosomal RNA
Source: RNAcentral